Oncorhynchus mykiss (rainbow trout) is the source of this 2780-nucleotide non-coding RNA. The record is from RefSeq and is a predicted model, not a curated record. NCBI's taxonomy places the organism in Eukaryota, Metazoa, Chordata, Actinopteri, Salmoniformes, Salmonidae.
AACACCAUCCAAUCCCACCCUUCAGCUCCACUCAACCCCUCCCAUCUAUCUCUGAACACCAUCCAGUUUUGAUUCCUAUUGGCCGUAUAUUUUUCAACUGUGCUGUGAUGUUUCACAAAAGUUCUGAACCGUUCUAUAUUCAAACUUUCUACAUAUUGUAAAUUAGAGAUAAAUAUGUUUGCUAAGAGUAUUAUACUAUUAUUUCAAUUAACUAUAACUUUUAAAAUCACCCAGCAGGGCUAUUUGCAGAGCUAGUUCCAGGUAAAUAUUGCAAUUCUACAGCCAUUCCUGGACCUGUGACUAAAAACAAGCUACAUAAGGACAGCACAAAAACAAAUGAUCUAAUGAGUCUGUCUCUUCGCAGAAAAAUCUGCAGAGCAAGGAUGGUUGUAUCCCCCAUAUAAAUAACAUUCCAUUGGUUACAAGAAUUUUGUAUAAUAGUUCAAAUUGGAGAAACUCUUUAAGUUUUGAAUCCAGCAUUUGUGUAUCAGUUCAUAAACCAUGUGCCAUGGAAUUUGCGCAUUGAACAUUUCUUCCCAACAAUUUUGCAAAUCCACAUUGCACAGCUGUCAAUGUUUUUGGUCCUUAAUUGAAAUUGAAAUGUUUAUUUAUUGCAAUUAUCUUUAGCCAAUUUAAUUCUUUAAUGCAGGGUCGAAAGUAAAGUUCCUUACCUUUUCCCCUCCUUCCACUUUCCUCUUGCAUUUUUGCAGCAAUAAAUUGGUACCAAUUUUGAGUGGAGCAGACAUUUCCAUCUUUUUGUUGUUGUGUGUGAACUAACUCCACCUGUCCUAUUUAUGAUGAUACCGAUUUCUUUUUAUUUUAAUUGUUUUAUAUUUAAUCAAUUUGUAUAUUUGAGUUUAUAUUUGUUGUAAUAUUAGUUCUGUGUUUUCUGUUGGAUUAAACUGAAAUUGCAAUCAAAGCCGAUUAGUAAGAAAGUCUCAAGAAUGUAAGAAUGUCUCACCCCAUGUUAAAGAAUGGCCUUUUUCCCUUUAUUCAGAUUAGAAGUAUGGCUUGUUUGAAAAAUAGCAAUAUUUUGGAGAUUAUUUUUAUUUUCAAAUAACCUAAAGUGAGAGGGUGUAAUGUGAAUAAAGGGAAGAAGGCCAUUCUUGAACAUGGGGUGAGACAUUCUUACUAAUCGGCUUUUCAAGACGAUUUAUGUCAUAACUGUAACUAGGCCAUUGGAUUGUUUUUGUUUCAGUCUUGUUACACGUCCUUUUACUGUCACAACCUGUGGGUUAGGGUGAAACCAGACAAUGUAAUACAAGGAGUCAGCCUGAGGUCAACAAAACAACAGUAUUGACUGUCUGACUUGGCUUUAGCCAGACAAUAGUUUCCCAGGCUUUAGCCAGACAAAAGUGAUCUAGACAGACAGGUUGCCUCCAACAAUGUUUUUAUUUAAUAGAUGUAUUUUUUUAGGUGGUAGAUCAGCUUCAAUAUUGCAAAUAGAUACCUAUAUAACGUAGGUAGAUGACGUGCAUACCUACAUAACGUAGGUAGAUGACUUAAUGACGCAGUGGAAAACUUUGCUCUAGACGUGCAACACAGCAUUCCUAACCUCGCCCACAAUGUCUGCUGUGUGGAUCGAGCAGUCAACAAGUCGAGUAGUCAUUUGAAGGAGUAAGAACAUUUCAGCGAGACAACUCAAAAGGUGAUCCAUUUACCCCCAAGAUAAUGGGAUUCAUUGUCCUUGAUAAUCAGCUGUUCUCUGUCGUGGGUGAUGUUGACGAUUGCGACAUGGUCGAUGCAGCGGUACACGCUACCAAGUGCUCUAUUUUUUCAGAUGUUGCCCCACCGGAGUUACACAUGUCAUGACGGGGCCCUUUCAAGGUGUAGAUCGUGGCUAAGGAACAGUUAUGUUGAGUGUGUUUAAUGUAGUGACCCUUAUAAAGGACAGGAAACACACAUAACUAGAUCUCUGAAUGUGUACAUUUCUCAAUUAUGGGGUUUGCAUCUAAUUAUUGUAUAAAAUGAAUGAGUAAAGAUGAAACUAUUUGUGAACUGACGUAAUGUAAUGUUAAACUUUAAUUUGAGAGAAUUGUAUUCCCUGUAAACUAGUCAGGCGCCACGUACCCGUGAGCACAGACAUGAUCAGGUGUCACGGAACCACCCUUUUGUUAUUGUUACGAAUAAAACCCACUCCUGAGGAAAUUCACAUCAGACAAAGCAAAACCCAGCGUGAGCUGAGGUUGCAAAUGGUUGAAUUUCUAAGACUAGAAAACCAUACCAAGUGGAGCAUUGAAAUGGUUCAACUCUGAGACUAUCGAUCCCUACAGAAUAAGAGCAAAUCUUAGAUAUCAUUAAUAGACUUCAGCUAGAAAUUAUGUAAACCUAGGGUGAAAAUACAGAUAACCGCCAAAACAUAUAUUCUAAAAACAAUGGACGCCUGACGUAUCCAAUACAACAGACACUAUCCCGAGCCGCUGAUAAAGCUACAACCAUGAAAGACGUUGUGACUUCUGGGGAUGUAACCAGAAAGUCUCUGAUGAACUGACUCUCCAGCAGACGGACCGACGAUUCCAACAGAGAAGACAACAAUGACAUACGGCCGGAAAUAUAUUUAUUGCAAUUAUUCCUGAAUGAGCGGCUGUUCAUGUGCAAAGGAUUAGUAUUUCAAUGAAUAUAAUUACCCACUGCCCACACCCCCUUUCCUUUACCCACCAAGCCGUCAUAUUGGUUUAGCCCACUACGGAAUCUUCCCUAUCAUUUGUUAGUAACUAAUAUCUACUGUUUGUUUAUGCAUUUCUGUGAUUAUUUAGUUAGUAAAUAAAUGAUUAAGCCAA